Molecule: ribosomal RNA, 372 nt
Filed under: uncultured organism
Description: partial 16S ribosomal RNA
Rfam family: Bacterial small subunit ribosomal RNA
Source: RNAcentral
GUAGGUGGCAAGCGUUGUCCGGAAUUAUUGGGCGUAAAGCGCGCGCAGGCGGUUCUUUAAGUCUGAUGUGAAAGCCCACGGCUCAACCGUGGAGGGUCAUUGGAAACUGGAGAACUUGAGUACAGAAGAGGAAAGCGGAAUUCCACGUGUAGCGGUGAAAUGCGCAGAGAUGUGGAGGAACACCAGUGGCGAAGGCGGCUUUCUGGUCUGUAACUGACGCUGAGGCGCGAAAGCGUGGGGGAGCAAACAGGAUUAGAUACCCUGGUAGUCCACGCCGUAAACGAUGAGUGCUAAGUGUUAGGGGGUUUUCCGCCCCUUAGUGCUGCAGCUAACGCAUUAAGCACUCCGCCUGGGAGUACGGCCGCAAGGCUG